Molecule: ribosomal RNA, 483 nt
Filed under: Heterocorixa wrighti
Lineage: Eukaryota; Metazoa; Arthropoda; Insecta; Hemiptera; Corixidae
Description: partial large subunit ribosomal RNA
Rfam family: Eukaryotic large subunit ribosomal RNA
Source: RNAcentral
GGAGUCUAACAUGUGCGCGAGUCAUUGGGUUGUAAACCUAAAGGCGGAAUGAAAGUAAAGGGAGCUUUGCUUUUCUCUUAGGGAGGAAGGCCGCCGUGCCCUAAGGGGCGGCGGCCCGCACUCCCGGGGCGUCUAUCGCUCACAGCGAGCGGAGGCGCACCAAGAGCGUACACGUUAGGACCCGAAAGAUGGUGAACUAUGCCUGGUCAGGACGAAGCCAGGGGAAACCCUGGUGGAGGUCCGUAGCGAUUCUGACGUGCAAAUCGAUCGUCGGAGCUGGGUAUAGGGGCGAAAGACUAAUCGAACCAUCUAGUAGCUGGUUCCCUCCGAAGUUUCCCUCAGGAUAGCUGGUGCCCGGGGAAGAAGAGUCUCAUCCGGUAAAGCGAAUGAUUAGAGGCAUUGGGGCCGAAACGACCUCAACCUAUUCUCAAACUUUAAAUAGAUGAGAACUCCGGCUUGCUUAAAGCUGAAGCCGGAGAUUCG